AUUUUUAUUAAACUGCUAAACAUACUAUGUUAGGUUCCAUACAUGAUUAAACCACCAAAAGAUAAAGGUCUUGCCAAUCUAAUGUAUUUACAUGCUUAUUUUCUUUGAUUAGAUUAUAAGCUUUCUGAGGUCAGAGACAUUAAAUCUUGAUAAUUCUAUUUUUUCCUGUUAUAAACAGCAAGUAAAGCACCUUGCAUGUAUAGUACUUUAGUAAUGAUUUUAUAUUAUCUUAUUGCAGCAGUGUCUACUGUUGCCUCUUAUCUUUUAUCCAGAUGAGCAAAUGACAGUUUUGGUCAUAAUGUAGUUACCCCAGAUGUAUUUGUGCUACAGCUUUUAUUUUUUAAAUGCUCUUUUGUUAGAGUAGUAGUUUAUAAGACUUAUUUGGGGAUGGGGGUCAGUUGCUUCAGACUCAGGUGGCUUUCCAACUUGUAAAUACAAUUUUCAGGCUGGAUGAUUAGCAUGCAUCAAGCAUCCCUUCCUAUGAACUCUAAAUAAAGCAGAUUUAUUGCAUAUUCUGUGGCCCUCUGUUUUAGCACAUUGGAAACCUUAGACUCAAAUAGCAGUGAAAGGAUAGUUAUUGCUGAGCUCAGAAGUCUUCCCUGCCAAAGGUAGAAUGUAAUGUGUUCUGUGGUAAUAGGAUUAUUUUGUUUGACCAGGUGACACUGUUUAUUUCUUAUGAAAAAUUUUGAUAUACUGCUUUAAAAUUUAGUAAGAUGGAUGCAUAAUUUAUGCAGUGAAAUUUGAAAGGUUUUUCAAAAUGAUAAGGCCAAACCUAAGCUAAAUGAGGGGGUAGGCAUUCUUUAUAAUAAAGCUGUUAUACUCUGCCCAGCUAGGCCAGUUAUCCCUAGAUGCUACAGAUUAAUGGGGC
RNAcentral lists this long non-coding RNA (868 nucleotides) under Homo sapiens (human). Its description in RNAcentral is "LHRI_LNC1452.1". Lineage: Eukaryota; Metazoa; Chordata; Mammalia; Primates; Hominidae. The record is from RNAcentral.